RNAcentral lists this transfer RNA (63 nucleotides) under Longitarsus membranaceus. RNAcentral's name for it is "tRNA-Phe". Lineage: Eukaryota; Metazoa; Arthropoda; Insecta; Coleoptera; Chrysomelidae. The record is from RNAcentral.
ACUUAAAUAGCUUAUUUAGAGCAUAAUAUUGAAGAUAUUAAGGAAAUCCUAGAUUUUUGAGUA